AGGAGAGUUUGAUCCUGGCUCAGGACGAACGCUGGCGGCGUGCUUAACACAUGCAAGUCGAACGGGGAUAAUUGCGGAAGGACUUCGGUUUGGAAGCGAUUAUUCGAGUGGCGGACGGGUGAGUAACGCGUGAGCAAUCUGUCCCAGACAGGGGGAUAACACUUGGAAACAGGUGCUAAUACCGCAUGAGACCACGGCAUCGCAUGGUGCUGAGGUAAAAGGAGAAAUCCGGUUUGGGGUGAGCUCGCGUCCGAUUAGCCAGUUGGCGGGGUAACGGCCCACCAAAGCGACGAUCGGUAGCCGACCUGAGAGGGUGAUCGGCCACAUUGGAACUGAGAGACGGUCCAAACUCCUACGGGAGGCAGCAGUGGGGAAUAUUGGGCAAUGGGCGAAAGCCUGACCCAGCAACGCCGCGUGAGUGAAGAAGGCCUUCGGGUUGUAAAGCUCUGUUACAGGUGACGAAGGAAGUGACGGUAAUCUGUAAGGAAGCCCCGGCUAACUACGUGCCAGCAGCCGCGGUAAUACGUAGGGGGCGAGCGUUGUCCGGAAUGACUGGGCGUAAAGGGCGUGUAGGCGGCCGACUAAGUCUGGAGUGAAAGUCCUGCUUUCAAGGUGGGAAUUGCUUUGGAUACUGGUUGGCUUGAGUGCGGAAGAGGUAAGUGGAAUUCCCAGUGUAGCGGUGAAAUGCGUAGAGAUUGGGAGGAACACCAGUGGCGAAGGCGACUUACUGGGCCGUAACUGACGCUGAGGCGCGAAAGCGUGGGGAGCGAACAGGAUUAGAUACCCUGGUAGUCCCCU
This 798-nucleotide ribosomal RNA is filed under the name uncultured Bacillota bacterium. RNAcentral describes it as "bacterial SSU rRNA". It matches the Rfam family "Bacterial small subunit ribosomal RNA", at positions 1 to 799 of the family's 1533-position model. Lineage: Bacteria; Bacillati; Bacillota. The record is from RNAcentral.